RNAcentral lists this ribosomal RNA (405 nucleotides) under uncultured bacterium. RNAcentral's name for it is "bacterial SSU rRNA". It matches the Rfam family "Bacterial small subunit ribosomal RNA", at positions 357 to 776 of the family's 1533-position model. The record is from RNAcentral.
GGGAAUAUUGCACAAUGGGCGAAAGCCUGAUGCAGCAACGCCGCGUGAAGGAAGACGGUUUUCGGAUUGUAAACUUCUAUCAAUAGGGAAGAAAGAAAUGACGGUACCUAAAUAAGAAGCCCCGGCUAACUAAGUGCCAGCAGCCGCGGUAAUACGUAGGGGGCAAGCGUUAUCCGGAAUUACUGGGUGUAAAGGGAGAGUAGGCGGCAAGGUAAGCGAUAUGUGAAAGCCUUAAGCUUAACUUAAGGAUUGCAUAACGAACUAUCUAGCUAGAGUACAGGAGAGGAAAGCGGAAUUCCUAGUGUAGCGGUGAAAUGCGUAGAUAUUAGGAAGAACACCAGUGGCGAAGGCGGCUUUCUGGACUGAAACUGACGCUGAGGCUCGAAAGCGUGGGGAGCGAACAGG